Molecule: long non-coding RNA, 1266 nt
Organism: Pecten maximus
Lineage: Eukaryota; Metazoa; Mollusca; Bivalvia; Pectinida; Pectinidae
Exons: 3
Source: RefSeq, a predicted model, not a curated record
GGUACUCUAGGUAGUAGAUAAUAGUUACUUUUCUGCCAGUUAAAUGAAGUGACCCUAACAUGGCUGGGCAAUUUGGCUUGCCAGUUCUGAAGUUAGCUCGUAUUAAACCCGCUACACCUGUUUGAUGGCAUCCAACAGGUGGGUUUUUACAGCAACUAUCAGUACUUCACUGAAAAUCACCAAGAAUAGAACUAAUUCAAUCUGCAUGGCCCUAUAUUACUUCUGAUAAACUUCUCUGGGUAACAUUCAUAUAGUAAACUGUAUCAUACCCAAUAAACUUUAGACAAUCAAUAAGAACAGUUAGGUCAUUACAAUCUAGAUUUUACUCUUAUUUCAAGUGCCAUAUGAAAACUCAGUGUUGCAAUAUAUAAAUACCCUGGCAGAUGUACCAGUUAGUUGAUAGUAACUUAAACCAAUAAUCAUGAUCAUCUACCAGCUAGUUGUAGAUAGUAACUUAAAUUAAUUAUCAGAUGUACCAGCUAGUAGAUAGUAACUUAAAUUAAUUAUCAGAAAACAUAUAUUUUCUUGUCUUGUCCUAUAUAAAUCUCCAUCAGAUUACGGAUACACACAUUCCACUAUACAGUGGUACCUAUGUGGGGGAUGACCUCUGACCUCUUGGAACCCGGUUUAUACAUUUGUACAUAAACUGUCAUUUCCUGUGGAGACACUUAUCUCACUGGCACAGCAUCCGACACUAUAGGUCUCUAUGUAAUACUGACUCUAACCACAGGGGCCUCGGUCAGGAUAAAAAUAUAGAUAGUUUUUUUCUGUAGCAAACAAAGAUUACUAUCAUGCUUUUCUAAAACAACAAUAAGCAACUUGAAUAUCACAUUAAUGUUGAAAAUUCUAUAUAAAAAAAAAAAAAAAAAAAUUUCAAGGUAUUUAGUUCAAGGAGGUAUUUUUUUUAUUCUAAAUAUAUCCCAAUUGUUCCCCUUCUUUAGCACAAGACGUCCUUAAAGAUUUAUUUCACCAUGUAGAUGGGCACAGAAAAGUCUUUUAUUAUAAGUUUAAUACCUUUCAAUAUCAAAUGGUGUCUGACAAAGGAAGUUCUGUGAGUCCCAUAGAAAUUCUGUGAGGACAGGACUUAGGAUUCGCAUGUAGAUUUAUCACUGGAUGCAGUCAAUACAUGAAAUUACCAUGUCUUGGGUGUGACAAAUACACAACGCUGCGGAAUAAAAGAAGACUGAUUAAAAAUUGACUCUUAGGUUUGUUAUGAUUUUUUUGUUUUUAACAUUUAUGGAAAAAAAUUAAAACAAUCAAAACUGU